Molecule: ribosomal RNA, 1215 nt
Filed under: marine sediment metagenome
Description: bacterial LSU rRNA
Rfam family: Archaeal large subunit ribosomal RNA
Source: RNAcentral
UCUGUGGAGAGCCGUAAUGGCGAGAAGCAGACGAAUAUGUUAUGACGAAAGUCGGCUGCACCCCGGAACCCGUGAAAAGGGAGUUGAAUAUCCGUACCGAGAUCUGACACAGGUGCCCCUAGCUGAAAAGGCUAAGGCGUGUCGGAAUAAUUUGGCUAAGGGAAUUCGGCAAAUUGGCUCCGUAACUUCGGGAGAAGGAGUGCCUGCCGUGAAGACGGCAGGUCGCAGUGACCAGGGAACUCUAACUGUCUAAUAUCAACAUAGGAGAUCGCAAACCCGUAAGGGCUAGUACGAUCUCUGAAUCCUGCUCAGUGCAGGUACCUGAAACUUCGGUUCAACGGAAAGAAGGGCCUGUAAACAGCGGGGGUAACUAUGACCCUCUUAAGGUAGCGUAGUACCUUGUCGCUUAAUUGGCGACUUGCAUGAAUGGAUCAAUGAGAGUUCUACUGUCCCUAGCCAGAGUCCGGUGAAGCUUACAUUCUAGCGCAGAGUCUAGAGACCUCUAGGGGGAAGUGAAGACCCCGUGGAGCUUUACUGCAGCCUGUCGCUGGGUUGUGAUUUUGGAUGUACAGUGUAGGUAGGAGACGUCGAAGCCGGUGCGCCAGCAUCGGUGGAGUCGCAAUUGGGACACUACCCUUCCAAGAUUACGACCCUCACUCCGUGAGGAGGACCCCGAUAGGUGGGCAGUUUGCCUGGGGCGGGACGCCCUUGAAAAGAUAUCAAGGGCGCGCAAUGGUUAACUCAAGUGGGUCGGAAACCUACUGAAGAGUGCAAGAGCAUAAGUUAGCCUGACGUGAUUCAGCACAGUAGUGGAUCACGAGACGAAAGUCGGUUCUAGCGAACCUUUAUGUCCCGCUUGGUGCGGGCUAAAGAUGACAGAAAAGUUACCCCGGGGAUAAUUGAGUCGUUGCCGGCAAGAGCACAUAUCGACCCGGCAGCUUGCUACCUCGAUGUCGGUUCUUUCCAUCCUGGCUGUGCAGCAGCAGCCAAGGGUGAGGUUGUUCGCCUAUUAAAGGAGAUCGUGAGCUGGGUUUAGACCGUCGUGAGACAGGUCGGUUACUAUCUACUAGAGGUGUAUGUGGUCUGAGGGUAAGUUGCUUUUAGUACGAGAGGAACAGAGCAACGGCGCCACUGGUCGAUCGGUUGUCUGACAAGGCACUGCCGAGCAGCUACGCGCUAAGGAAUAAGAGCUGAAUGCAUCUAAGCUCGAAAUCU